GGGUUGUGAGGUUAAGCGACUAAGCGUACACGGUGGAUGCCCUGGCAGUCAGAGGCGAUGAAGGACGUGCUAAUCUGCGAAAAGCGUCGGUAAGGUGAUAUGAACCGUUAUAGCCGGCGAUGUCCGAAUGGGGAAACCCAGUGCAAUUCGUUGCACUAUCGUUAACUGAAUACAUAGGUUAACGAGGCGAACCGGGGGAACUGAAACAUCUAAGUACCCCGAGGAAAAGAAAUCAACCGAGAUUCCCCCAGUAGCGGCGAGCGAACGGGGAGCAGCCCAGAGUCUGAAUCAGCUUGUGUGUUAGUGGAACGGUCUGGAAAGUCCGACGGUACAGGGUGAUAGUCCCGUACACCAAAAUGCACAGGUUGUGAACUCGAAGAGUAGGGCGGGACACGUGGUAUCCUGUCUGAAUAUGGGGGGACCAUCCUCCAAGGCUAAAUACUCCUGACUGACCGAUAGUGAACCAGUACCGUGAGGGAAAGGCGAAAAGAACCCCGGCGAGGGGAGUGAAAAAGAACCUGAAACCGUGUACGUACAAGCAGUGGGAGCACCUUUAUGGUGUGACUGCGUACCUUUUGUAUAAUGGGUCAGCGACUUAUAUUCUGUAGCAAGGUUAACCGUAUAGGGGAGCCGCAGGGAAACCGAGUCUUAACUGGGCGUUAAGUUGCAGGGUAUAGACCCGAAACCCGGUGAUCUAGCCAUGGGCAGGUUGAAGGUUGGGUAACACUAACUGGAGGACCGAACCGACUAAUGUUGAAAAAUUAGCGGAUGACUUGUGGCUGGGGGUGAAAGGCCAAUCAAACCGGGAGAUAGCUGGUUCUCCCCGAAAGCUAUUUAGGUAGCGCCUCGUGAACUCAUCUUCGGGGGUAGAGCACUGUUUCGGCUAGGGGGUCAUCCCGACUUACCAACCCGAUGCAAACUACGAAUACCGAAGAAUGUUAUCACGGGAGACACACGGCGGGUGCUAACGUCCGUCGUGAAGAGGGAAACAACCCAGACCGCCAGCUAAGGUCCCAAAGUCAUGGUUAAGUGGGAAACGAUGUGGGAAGGCACAGACAGCCAGGAUGUUGGCUUAGAAGCAGCCAUCAUUUAAAGAAAGCGUAAUAGCUCACUGGUCGAGUCGGCCUGCGCGGAAGAUGUAACGGGGCUAAACCAUGCACCGAAGCUGCGGCAGCGACACGAUGUGUUGUUGGGUAGGGGAGCGUUCUGUAAGCCUGCGAAGGUGACCUGUGAGGGUUGCUGGAGGUAUCAGAAGUGCGAAUGCUGACAUAAGUAACGAUAAAGCGGGUGAAAAGCCCGCUCGCCGGAAGACCAAGGGUUCCUGUCCAACGUUAAUCGGGGCAGGGUGAGUCGACCCCUAAGGCGAGGCCGAAAGGCGUAGUCGAUGGGAAACAGGUUAAUAUUCCUGUACUUGGUGUUACUGCGAAGGGGGGACGGAGAAGGCUAUGUUAGCCGGGCGACGGUUGUCCCGGUUUAAGCAUGUAGGCUGGUUAUCCAGGCAAAUCCGGAUAAUCAAGGCUGAGGUGUGAUGACGAGGUACUACGGUGCUGAAGUAACAAAUGCCCUGCUUCCAGGAAAAGCCUCUAAGCAUCAGGUAACAUCAAAUCGUACCCCAAACCGACACAGGUGGUCAGGUAGAGAAUACCAAGGCGCUUGAGAGAACUCGGGUGAAGGAACUAGGCAAAAUGGUGCCGUAACUUCGGGAGAAGGCACGCUGGUGUGUAGGUGAAGUCCCUGCGGAUGGAGCUGAGACCAGUCGAAGAUACCAGCUGGCUGCAACUGUUUAUUAAAAACACAGCACUGUGCAAACACGAAAGUGGACGUAUACGGUGUGACGCCUGCCCGGUGCCGGAAGGUUAAUUGAUGGGGUUAUCCGUAAGGAGAAGCUCUUGAUCGAAGCCCCGGUAAACGGCGGCCGUAACUAUAACGGUCCUAAGGUAGCGAAAUUCCUUGUCGGGUAAGUUCCGACCUGCACGAAUGGCGUAAUGAUGGCCAGGCUGUCUCCACCCGAGACUCAGUGAAAUUGAACUCGCUGUGAAGAUGCAGUGUACCCGCGGCAAGACGGAAAGACCCCGUGAACCUUUACUAUAGCUUGACACUGAACAUUGAGCCUUGAUGUGUAGGAUAGGUGGGAGGCUUUGAAGCGUGGACGCCAGUCUGCGUGGAGCCAACCUUGAAAUACCACCCUUUAAUGUUUGAUGUUCUAACGUGGGCCCCUGACCGGGGUUGCGGACAGUGUCUGGUGGGUAGUUUGACUGGGGCGGUCUCCUCCCAAAGCGUAACGGAGGAGCACGAAGGUUAGCUAAUCCUGGUCGGACAUCAGGAGGUUAGUGCAAUGGCAUAAGCUAGCUUGACUGCGAGCGUGACGGCGCGAGCAGGUGCGAAAGCAGGUCAUAGUGAUCCGGUGGUUCUGAAUGGAAGGGCCAUCGCUCAACGGAUAAAAGGUACUCCGGGGAUAACAGGCUGAUACCGCCCAAGAGUUCAUAUCGACGGCGGUGUUUGGCACCUCGAUGUCGGCUCAUCACAUCCUGGGGCUGAAGUAGGUCCCAAGGGUAUGGCUGUUCGCCAUUUAAAGUGGUACGCGAGCUGGGUUUAGAACGUCGUGAGACAGUUCGGUCCCUAUCUGCCGUGGGCGCUGGAGAAUUGAGGGGGGCUGCUCCUAGUACGAGAGGACCGGAGUGGACGCAUCACUGGUGUUCGGGUUGUCAUGCCAAUGGCACUGCCCGGUAGCUAAAUGCGGAAGAGAUAAGUGCUGAAAGCAUCUAAGCACGAAACUUGCCCCGAGAUGAGUUCUCCCUGAGACUUUAAGUCUCCUGAAGGAACGUUGAAGACGACGACGUUGAUAGGCCGGGUGUGUAAGCGCAGCGAUGCGUUGAGCUAACCGGUACUAAUGAACCGUGAGGCUUAACCUUACAACGCCGAAG
This 2924-nucleotide ribosomal RNA is filed under the name Klebsiella quasipneumoniae. Its description in RNAcentral is "bacterial LSU rRNA". It matches the Rfam family "Bacterial large subunit ribosomal RNA". Lineage: Bacteria; Pseudomonadati; Pseudomonadota; Gammaproteobacteria; Enterobacterales; Enterobacteriaceae. The record is from RNAcentral.